GCUUACGGCCACACCUCCCUGAGCACGCCCGAUCUCGUCUGAUCUCGAAGCUAAGCAGGGUCGGCCCGGUUAGUACUUGGAUGGGAGACCGCCUGGGAAUACCAGUGCUGUAACCU
This 116-nucleotide ribosomal RNA is filed under the name Esox lucius (northern pike). The record is from RNAcentral. Lineage: Eukaryota; Metazoa; Chordata; Actinopteri; Esociformes; Esocidae.